This 869-nucleotide ribosomal RNA is filed under the name uncultured bacterium. RNAcentral's name for it is "bacterial SSU rRNA". It matches the Rfam family "Bacterial small subunit ribosomal RNA", at positions 28 to 896 of the family's 1533-position model. The record is from RNAcentral.
AAUGAACGUUGGCGGCGUGGAUUAGGCAUGCAAGUCGUACGGGUUCGCCGCAAGGCGGGUCCGUGGCGCAAGGGUGAGUAAUGCGACGGCAAUCAACCCCGAAGAUGGGCAUAGCCGCGGGAAACUGCGGGUAAUACCCAGCGAUGCGUCGAGGAGGCAUCUUCUUGACGCCAAAUGGUGUGAUUCCGCUUUGGGACGGACCGUCGUGGUAUUAGGUAGUUGGCGGGGUAACGGCCCACCAAGCCUACGAUGCCUACCGGGCGUGCGAGCGUGGCCCGGCACACUGGGACUGAGACACUGCCCAGACUCCUACGGGAGGCUGCAGUCGAGAAUCUUCGGCAAUGGGCGAAAGCCUGACCGAGCGACGCCGCGUGGAGGAUGAAGGCCUUCGGGUUGUAAACUCCUGUCGCAGGGGAGCAAGGGCCGGCGAAGAGCCGGUCUUGACCGAUCCUGGGAGGAAGCACGGGCUAAGUUCGUGCCAGCAGCCGCGGUAAGACGAACCGUGCGAACGUUAUUCGGAAUCACUGGGCUUAAAGCGCGUGUAGGCGGGUCGACGCAUCGGUCGUUGAAGUCCCCCGGCUCAACCGGGGAACUGGCGCCGAGAUGGUCGAUCUGGAGGGGAGCAGGGGGACCUGGAACUUCCGGUGGAGCGGUGAAAUGCGUUGAGAUCGGAAGGAACGCCCGUGGCGAAAGCGAGGUCCUGGACGUCUGCUGACGCUGAGACGCGAAAGCUAGGGGAGCAAACGGGAUUAGAUACCCCGGUAGUCCUAGCCGUAAACGAUGGGCACUGGGUAGGGGGCUCGCCGAUGGGCUCUCUGCCGUAGCGAAAGCGUGAAGUGCCCCGCCUGGGGAGUAUGGUCGCAAGGCUG